ACGGGGAGCAGCAGGCGCGAAACCUUUACACUGUACGCAAGUGCGAUAAGGGGACUCCGAGUGUGAAGGCAUAGAGCCUUCACUUUUGUACACCGUAAGGUGGUGCACGAAUAAGGGCUGGGCAAGACCGGUGCCAGCCGCCGCGGUAAUACCGGCAGCCCGAGUGAUGGCCGAUAUUAUUGGGCCUAAAGCGUCCGUAGCUGGCCGGACGAGUCCGUUGGGAAAUCUGUUCGCUUAACGAGCAGGCGUCCAGCGGAAACUGUUCGGCUUGGGACCGGAAGACCUGAGGGGUACGUCCGGGGUAGGAGUGAAAUCCUGUAAUCCUGAACGGACCACCGAUGGCGAAAGCACCUCGAGAGGACUGAUCCGACAGUGAGGGACGAAAGCUGGGGUCUCGAACCGGAUUAGAUACCCGGGUAGUCCCAGCCGUAAACGAUGUUCGCUAGGUGUGACACUCACUACGAGUGAGUGUUGUGCCGCAGGGAAGCCGCUAAGCGAACCGCCUGGGAAGUACGUCCGCAAGGAUGAAACUUAAAGGAAUUGGCGGGGGAGCAC
Molecule: ribosomal RNA, 555 nt
Filed under: uncultured Halobacterium sp.
Lineage: Archaea; Methanobacteriati; Methanobacteriota; Halobacteria; Halobacteriales; Halobacteriaceae
Description: bacterial SSU rRNA
Rfam family: Archaeal small subunit ribosomal RNA
Source: RNAcentral